This 349-nucleotide long non-coding RNA is filed under the name Vigna radiata. Its description in RNAcentral is "long non-coding RNA (VRAD_LNC018036)". The record is from RNAcentral. Lineage: Eukaryota; Viridiplantae; Streptophyta; Magnoliopsida; Fabales; Fabaceae.
UUGAAACAUCAUACGUCCAAACUCCAUUCCAUAGCUUCUUCAAAUCAUCAAUCAGAGGCUCCAAAUAAACAUCAAUCGCUGAUUUGGGAUUAGAUGGACCUGGUAUUAUACACAUUAAAAACAUGUAAGGCUUUGUCAUACACAUCUCAGGAGGUAGAUUGUAUGGGGUAACUAUCACCGGCCAACAUGAAUAUGGUGAUGCAGACGCCUGAAUGUAUGGGGUAAACCCAUCAGAGCAUAAACCAAGUCUCACGUUANGCGGUUCACUAGCAAAGGACGGAUGUUUACGAUUAAAGUGCUUCCAAGCUUCACCAUCAUAAGGAUGAUGCAAAACUCCUUUAGUUUUGUU